Physcomitrium patens is the source of this 1112-nucleotide non-coding RNA. The record is from RefSeq and is a predicted model, not a curated record. Lineage: Eukaryota; Viridiplantae; Streptophyta; Bryopsida; Funariales; Funariaceae.
GCAGAUGCUAUUGCUGCCUCCCCAUAAUCCCAAUUCCUUACUUCUGAAGGCGGAAUUCUCGACAGCCCUAAUAAUCUAACCAAAAGGGAUCACAUGGCCCCAUGGUGGGAUGCAAAAGUCUCAGAUUCAUCCUUCACCCUGUCGGAUCUGUAGCUGAAUCACUUCCUCGUGCCAUUGAUAGUCAUUUGUGUCAUGACAAUCUAGAGCCCAAUCCUAAUUUCCAAAGGAAUUACAAAAUUGUACAAGACCUCUUUCAAAACAUCGAGUUCUCUCCGAUUACCGAGAGAAUUGGGUGCAAAGUCACAUUGACCUCUCGCAAUGAGCCAGGGUUUUAGGUUUCGGAAGUAGGGUAUUCUUAUGUGGGCAGUCUUCGGGUGUGUGCGUCAUCAUUUAUGUGAGUAUUCGUGUGUAUGUGAUUACCUUGACGGCAGUUUACAAGGACGAUCAAUCAUGGACAGGAAGGUUGUAAUGGGCGCAGCUCUUAUUGCAUGGGCCGCUGCGCUACAGGGGCACAUGAUCUGGGUUCAACGACAGGACGCUUUUAAGGAGAAAUUCGGCACGGAGCUUGAGGAGUUGAAGAAGACCAGAAACGAAACCCUAUCUUGAAAACGUCGUGAUCGAGUCACCGGACGAGAGCGAGAGCAAGAGCACGUCGAAGCCGUGACAUGUGUGAGCCUUGCGCGACUUCGUUUCUCUUAUCGUAUGAACGGUGGUCUGUACAGAAGUGCGAUUCUGGAGUGGCGCGUUCGGAACAAUGUGCUACGGUGUGAAGUAGUAGAGUUCUAGGGUUUACUGUACCCCUAUCUAUUGGUGUUGCAGAUACUCUCAGUUGUUAUCGUAGAGUGGAAUUGUAAGCCAAUUUUGAGGCUCAGAUCUUCUCGAAUACAGAUACUUUACCUGAGGAUGAGUACAUGACGUAGGGUCUCACUCACAAAACUAUCCCAGUUUUUUGGUGAUUCGUUCCGCGCUCACUCCUCGAUUAGUUGCUCCCGCGUGUCUGGUUCCAUCCUUGGCUCCAAUCGAAACAAUUCAUUCAAAAUCAGAUGUAAGUGGAGAUUGUGGAAUGUGCUUUACAAAGAGGGGCGGACAUUCGACCUCAAUUGCUUGCAGCA